RNAcentral lists this ribosomal RNA (119 nucleotides) under Triticum aestivum (bread wheat). Lineage: Eukaryota; Viridiplantae; Streptophyta; Magnoliopsida; Poales; Poaceae. The record is from RNAcentral.
GGAUGCGAUCAUACCAGCACUAAAGCACCGGAUCCCAUCAGAACUCCGAAGUUAAGCGUGCUUGGGCGAGAGUAGUACUGGGAUGGGUGACCUCCUGGGAAGUCCUCGUGUUGCGUUCC